CCACCUUCAGUUCUGUUCAUCAGCACCAUCUUGUGGUCGACUCAGUUCUGGUUCUCCGCAUCACUUGGUUAAUUCACGUACCUAAAUGAAAUGCAUUAUGCACAUGAAUGCAUAUAGACAGGAAUAUUGCAAACCUAAAUAGUGUUACGCGAUAGCGAAUUAAACACCUAGCGGCGAGGUGUUGAACAAUUUCAUACGGAGACACUAAUUAUCGACGUACGACUAAGCGCAAUAAUCACGCUUCUCUAAAUUAAACGAACCUAACGCAAACAUCACGAAACAACAAACUAUACACAUUUAAUACAAUUAGCCUAAACACAACUUAUCAGUUAAUUAAUUAAAUUCUAAACUUAGUGGUCUAAGGAAUUUAAAUCUAGAAAAAGAAUAAAAACACAUCACUUUUUAGACCACGCGACUGGAUUAAAUUACAUACCACUCUAAGCUAUCAUAUAUAGCCUACCAUUAAUUUUAUCAAACAAUUAUAAUUCGUCAUAAGUAAUACUAAUAAUAUUAUUGUUUAGACAUUUUAAAAUACUAAAUUUAAACUUCAUUCAGUAAUUUACCAUACAUCACAUAUUUAACAUCUCAAACCUACCCAACACGACUACUCCAAAAUCACGAAAAUAAUCACGUCACAUUCAUCGAACUAAUUCAAUAAUUAAGCUAACGGAAAUAUGAAUCGGCUUACCUACUAAAUCUGACGCGCUAUCCGCGAGUACGGCAAGGAUUCUGGUUCAGCCCUUGUGUCGAGCACUUGGUGAAUAUCACGCUGCUAACUUCGUCUUCGCCCGACUCUUGGGAUUUCUUGACGACGCACGGAACGACGACGAGAUCGAGUCUAGAGCGAGCUGGCGAGGUGUGGUUGAGCAGGUUAGCGCGAGCUCUGGCGAGGAC
This 894-nucleotide long non-coding RNA is filed under the name Zea mays. RNAcentral's name for it is "long non-coding RNA (ZMAY_LNC002436)". Lineage: Eukaryota; Viridiplantae; Streptophyta; Magnoliopsida; Poales; Poaceae. The record is from RNAcentral.